Molecule: transfer RNA, 73 nt
Filed under: Candidatus Woesearchaeota archaeon
Lineage: Archaea; Nanobdellati; Candidatus Woesearchaeota
Description: tRNA-Asn
Rfam family: tRNA
About the family: Transfer RNA (tRNA) molecules are approximately 80 nucleotides in length. Their secondary structure includes four short double-helical elements and three loops (D, anti-codon, and T loops).
Source: RNAcentral
GCCCCAAUAGCUCAGUUGGUAGAGCGUUUGGCUGUUAACCAAAAGGUCCGAGGUUCAAGUCCUCGUUGGGGCG